Hypanus sabinus (Atlantic stingray) is the source of this 1192-nucleotide long non-coding RNA. RefSeq lists it as uncharacterized. The record is from RefSeq and is a predicted model, not a curated record. The transcript has 6 exons. Lineage: Eukaryota; Metazoa; Chordata; Chondrichthyes; Myliobatiformes; Dasyatidae.
AUCCGCCAUCUUGCUGAUGGUUAGAGGGGCUGAAUGGCCACCUCCUGCUGUUUCAGUGUUCCUGUCCAGUGAUCCCGGAGGAAUAUGAAGAGGAAUGAGUGUUUAUAAUCAUAGACUGAUUUAAAUGAAACCAGCACAUUUCCUGUGUGGGUCUGAUUUGUGUGUUUUGGGAUGGGAUGGGAAUCGAAACUCUAACUCUGUGACCUGGGGUGGAGGGAAAAGGAUUGGGGAAGAUAUGGAGGGAAAAACUAAAUACGUAUCUGUUGUAAAUAGGGAAAUAAUUAAAUAAUAUGGGAAAUGCGGCGGUGGGUACGGCAGUGUGUGAAGGGCGAGGAACACUCACCGGAUCACGUGGGACCCUCCAGCGUCAUGUGAUCCCGUUUCGCUCAGAUCGGCAGCAACAUCUGCGGGUUUGAUUCCGAGGCCCCGCCCACCGCCUGUUGACGCAAAAAGCACAUUGCGCAUGCUCACAGUCCCGGGAUCGGCAGUGUUGGUUUUUCGUUGUGUGUGGAAGCGGGUCGACAGAGGGAUCGGGAUCGGGAGGGGGUCCUCGCCCCCUUGGAUGGGGAGCCGGAGACAGAUUAUUCUCUGCGGGUCAACACCAAAAAUUUUCCUUCGAGCAGCAAAAACUGAUCACAGCUGUCCUCAAAAUGGAUCAAGGUGCGAGCAGUGAAGGAGUUCCAGUGAUGUCAACAUUGGGAAAGGACACGGUAGAACAGUAAAACUGAUCACGCCUGUCCCCAAAAUGGGUCAAGGUUCGAGCAGUGGAGGAGUUCAAGUGAUAUCAACAUCGGGAAAGGACACAGGUCUGAGCUCAGCAAUCACCGAGCUCCUGACAAGCUGGAAUGAUUCCCAGCUGCUGCAGUUGACGGACUUCUAUCGGGACAGGCUGGAGCAGGCGAUGGAAGGAGGGGUGCACGGAGUGAGCCUGGCGUGAACGGCCGAGAAUCAGUUCAGCGGAGAGGAACAUCGGAAAAUCUCUGAUCUCGCUGAUAAGGGAGAGCGGGCGGACAGUUCUAAACUCCUCCUGAGCCUGGUGAUGGAGAAAGGCUCCCGCGCCCGGAGGAUGAUGUGGGAAACCUUUGUGAAAAUGCGGAUUAGUGUCCCAAAGCUGGACAAAAUACUGAAGGAAAUACAGAUAUAUGGUUGUGAUCCUUCCCAUCAAACAAUUCCCAGUCAAAUUUUACUAAAG